UGAAAGCGUUUUAGGUUUACCAACUACGUAAAUAACAGAUGACAGUGGUCAGGCCUAUAUAACCUCCAUUUCAAAAUUUGACCUCAAAUCAGGCAGGAAUACCCGCUGAACUUAAGCAUAUCAAUAAGCGGAGGAAAAGAAACCAACAGGGAUUGCCUUAGUAACGGCGAGUGAAGCGGCAAAAGCUCAAAUUUGAAAUCUGGCACCUUUGGUGUCCGAGUUGUAAUUUGAAGAAAGUAACUUUUGGAAUAAGCCUUGCAUAAGUUCCUUGGAACAGGACGUCAUAGAGGGUGAGAAUCCCGUAUAUGGUGGGGUAUUUAUUUCAAUGUAAAGUGCUUUCGAAGAGUCGAGUUGUUUGGGAAUGCAGCUCUAAGUGGGUGGUAAAUUCCAUCUAAAGCUAAAUAUUGGCGAGAGACCGAUAGCGAACAAGUACAGUGAUGGAAAGAUGAAAAGAACUUUGAAAAGAGAGUGAAAAAGUACGUGAAAUUGUUGAAAGGGAAGGGCUUGAAAUCAGACUUGGUAUUCAGUGAUCAGCAAUCUCUCGGGGUUGUGCACUUGCUGUUUACUGGGCCAGCAUCGGUUUUGACGGUGAGAUAAUAGCACUUGAAUGUGGCUCUCUUCGGGGAGUGUUUAUAGCUUGUGUUGAUAUCAUCAGUCGGGAUCGAGGACCGCGCAUUUUGCUAGGAUGCUGGCGUAAUGAUUUUAAGCC
Molecule: ribosomal RNA, 709 nt
Filed under: Spencermartinsiella sp. UFMG-CM-Y3197
Lineage: Eukaryota; Fungi; Ascomycota; Dipodascomycetes; Dipodascales; Trichomonascaceae
Description: eukaryotic LSU rRNA
Rfam family: Eukaryotic large subunit ribosomal RNA (bases 79-709)
Source: RNAcentral